This 2550-nucleotide long non-coding RNA is filed under the name Sus scrofa (pig). Its description in RNAcentral is "lncRNA (ENSSSCG00000057778.1)". The record is from RNAcentral. Lineage: Eukaryota; Metazoa; Chordata; Mammalia; Artiodactyla; Suidae.
GGUUCAAAGUAUACUUUCUUUUAUACCCCAUGUUAGCAAUCCAGAAAUUUGUAGUGUCAUUGAUUAGAUUAAUAUACCUGAGAUACUGUAGGACUUCAGUACUGUAGUACUAAAAUUAAAAGAAAGAUUUUAAUUCUCUUACUGAAGUCCUUCUCUCUAGCACUUUACACUCCAAUAACAAGGAACCUAUUUUUCACUAUUUCCAUCCUUUCCUGACUUUUCGAUGUGGAAAAUAGUUUCUAUACAUUCCAGGUAUUUAGAAAUGGAUUCUUGGGUGCAAAAGUUUAUGCGGGUGCAAUGACCUGAAUGCAAUCACAUCUAUGACAAUCUGAGUCAUUGACAUUCAAACAGAAAAGCGUACUUUAAAAGUUUUCCAUACUUAUAUGGAAUGCAUUGAACCACCUUGGAGAAGGAUAUCCAAGGGUAAUAUGGAAUUAAAUCAACUUUUAGUGUUUAAGAUCUCAUACAGAUAAAAGGUAUCAUCUUCCUUUGCCAGCAGAUUUCUUGUAUUAUUAAGGCUUGGUCAUAUACAAACAUGCUUAGUACUAUAUUGAAGGGUCCUAUGGGGUUUCCUAGUGCUUAAAUAAAAACAAGUUAAACCACUCAGAUGUGAUGACCUUAGUUCCCUACCAAGUGACAAGGCUUAAAACCAAGACUAUUCUUGAAUAAAACAGACCCUGUCCCCUGUCAAAGAUGGUCAGAUAUGCAAAGAUAGCUUCAGAACAAAACAAAACAGCAAAGCAUUUUGGGUAGUUUGAGGGAGACAAGGAGGAAUUAAAAAAGAAAAUAACACCAAAAGUGCAUGAAAAGGAUCUUUGUUUUCCUGUCUCGAUUUCUUGGGCCCUUCAUGUAGGAUUAUUUAGGAGCAUAACUUUAGAUGGCUCUGUAGUCUCUGCUUCUCUAUAGGUGAUGGAUUUACAAAGCUGACAGUAAGCAACUUGCUCCAACUUGAGGAAAUUCACUGUACACACAUUUUUUUUUUUCAUUAAGAGCAAACAAAAUCUAUUUAUUUUCUCCGUAUUUCUUUCAAAACAAUAAAGUUUUGUCACCUCCAGAGCCACUCAUCAUCUGAAAUAACAUGGGUCAGCCCAGAGGGUAACUCCAUGUCUUUUUUGAAAUCAAAUAAUUUUCCUUCUCAGCUUCUCUCUCCCCACUGGAGCUAUUCAGUGUCACAUGCCUCUGUUAUUAAAAGAUGGCUCGGAGUUCCCGUCGUGGCGCAGUGGUUAAUGAAUCCGACUAGGAACCGUGAGGUUGUGGGUUCAAUCCCUGGCCUUGUUCAGUGGGUUGAGGAUUCGGCAUUGCCGUGAGCUGUGGUGUAGGUCAUAGACACAGCUCAGAUGCCAUGUUGCUGUGGCUCUUACGUAGGCCAGCGGCUACAGCUCCGAUUCGACCCCUAGCCUGGAAACCUCCAUAUGCUGCGGGAGCAGCCCCAGAAAACGCAAAAAGACAAAAAAAUAAAUAAAAAUAAAAAUAAAAGAUUCUCCAUUAUCUAACAAUGAAACUAUUAGUUAUAUCAACAAAUGCAAGAUUCUUGGAUGGUGAUAAAAUUCUAAGAAUACUGUAUUCCAUAUUUUUCUUUCUAAGAAAGGGGCCCAAUUGCCAGCUCUCUAUCCUGCUUGAAAUAUCUGGGAUUUUGUUGCUGUUUUAAAUUUUUUUUUUUAAUGUUUCUCCCUUUGAUUUUGGCCAAUGAAAACCCUACCUGCCAAAACUCACAUAUACGCAGAAAGCAAAAAAAGAUAAAAAGUGAGUUUUAGGUUUUAGAGCUUUGAAAGGCCUUUCUUUGAAGAUGCUGAGAAUCUUGCAUGUGAAUCUGAAACAGAGCUGCAGAACCCACACAUUUAUUAUUCUGAUAAAUAAACAUAUUCCCAUGUAAGGAUUGUUUUGAGCCCAGGGAAAAGAUAAAUAAAGUCCUUUGUGGUUCUCCCUGUACUUGAGGUUUGCCAAAUUGAACAUCCUUGCUCCAUGGGAAGAUACUUAUUCUUGUGAUGAGAGCCAAACUUCAAGUGGCCAAGAAGCAAAUUCUGCUAUUCUAACAGGAAAAAAAAAAAAAAGCAUGGUUUUUAAAAGCCAACCUUUCAGCUCAGUAUCUAUGAAAGUUAAGUAACCUGUUAAAGCAGUUGUAAGCAUAGUGGAAUCACCUAGGGAGCUUUAGAAAAACACUGAAGCCUGGGUCUCUUCCUUGUGGAUCAUGGUCAAGAGUACAACUUGGACAUCAGGAUUUUUUACACCUACCCCACAGACCCCUGGUCAAUUCUAAUAUGUAACCAGGGUUGAGAAACACUGGUCUUAAUGGACUUAGGAGGAAAAAAAAAUCAAAGCCAUUUCAUUGAUAUAUGACUAUGUUGGACUUCAAGGUCUCUUCAAGGAUACAGAACUCAAAGCCCUUGGCUAAGACCAAAAUUACCAGAUCCCAUCAUCGCCCGACCUCUCAUUGUAAUGUUACCUGACACUGCCACGCACCCCACCGCUUUGAGCAACCUGGUCUACUCCUUCCUACUCCCUACUAGGAAAGGUAUGUAACCCACUCCUCACCCCUCCCCUAUAGGGGCA